GGGUGCCGAUAUAAGUAUAAGCCAUAAGGUCAAAUAUUUUUUUUUUCCAAACAGCAGAUGCUUCGCCUUGCUUGUCUUCUGCUUGGCCUGCACUGUUUGACAUUGUACCACCUACAAAGUGAUGAUUAACUCAGUACAGGGACUUAAUACUGAAACCCCAUGUUGACGUACUACCUGAUGAUUGAUAGAAGCGUUUGCUAUCGAAAUAUGCCGUACAAAAUGCUCACCUUUGGUUGUCUUUGCCGAUAGGUGGGGACAGUGUCAUCCUCUUGCCUCUGAAAUGACAACUCCUGUUGUCUCCUGCUUCUGAGGAAGUCUAGAAGACUGGUCUGGUCUAGAAGACCCUCGUGGUGGUCUGUUCGGAUACACAUCACUAGCUGGAAGAGGAUCGUCGAAUGAUGCGUCUGUGUUGAAUGAAUUCCACCCAUUCUGCAACGUCUCGUGGCCAUUGAUCAUCUGAUAUUCAUCCAAGCUGAGUCUAAAUAUUGAGCGAUGGCCCUAAUGGAUGAAAACCGAGCUAAAAUGAAGAUCGAGUCAACGACGGAGUGCUGCAGCUGCAAGGAAAGAAACAAUCAAAGGCUACUGAGGAGUCUGAACGCGUCAUUGAACUGCCUGUGAAUUGUAUCAUCAGUGUCGGUUGAGCAAUAAAUGUGGAACAAAAA
This is a long non-coding RNA of Amphibalanus amphitrite, 662 nucleotides long. RefSeq lists it as uncharacterized. The record is from RefSeq and is a predicted model, not a curated record. NCBI's taxonomy places the organism in Eukaryota, Metazoa, Arthropoda, Thecostraca, Balanomorpha, Balanidae. The transcript has 5 exons.